GUGAGGAAUAUUGGACAAUGGGCGCAAGCCUGAUCCAGCCAUGCCGCGUGCAGGAAGACGCAUCUAUGGUGUGUAAACUGCUUUUGUACGGGAAGAAACACUCCCUCGUGAGGGAGCUUGACGGUACCGUAAGAAUAAGGAUCGGCUAACUCCGUGCCAGCAGCCGCGGUAAUACGGAGGAUCCAAGCGUUAUCCGGAAUCAUUGGGUUUAAAGGGUCCGUAGGCGGUUUAAUAAGUCAGUGGUGAAAGCCCAUCGCUCAACGAUGGAACGGCCAUUGAUACUGUUAGACUUGAAUUACAAGGAAGUAACUAGAAUAUGUAGUGUAGCGGUGAAAUGCUUAGAUAUUACAUGGAAUACCAAUUGCGAAGGCAGGUUACUACUUGUGGAUUGACGCUGAUGGACGAAAGCGUGGGGAGCGAACAGGAUUAGAAACCCCGUAGUCC
RNAcentral lists this ribosomal RNA (444 nucleotides) under uncultured bacterium. RNAcentral describes it as "partial 16S ribosomal RNA". It matches the Rfam family "Bacterial small subunit ribosomal RNA", at positions 354 to 796 of the family's 1533-position model. The record is from RNAcentral.